GAUAAGUUGGAGUAGACCAUUAGCCAGGAAUACUUUUACUAUCAGUAGAGAUUAUUUCUUGCACAGAUUAAAUAAUAGUGACAGUAUUUUUUCAGAUUUUUGUUUAUCUGUAGCCAGCCACCCUUCAGUUCCCAUCUUUGUAUUAUUUUGUCUCUUCUCUGUUUUCUUCCUAUAGGCAGAUCAAAAACUAAACGAAUUGCAACGUGUUGGUUUUGUUCUGGAAUCAUUCCCUUUAUUCCCUUUAUACAGGAAAAAUAGUUACUGUUGCUAGUUUAAUUUUGCUCACAUCACCCUUUUAGAGGCGGUGGACCAACUGACAAUCCUUUUCCCGCCUGUCUUUGUUUUAUUGCGUCUUAUUUUUGCCUCCACAGAUCUUCUUCUGCCUCCACAGUGCUGAUUCCUGAAAUCGUUAUGCUGGCAGUUUCAUCCAGUAAAGGCUAUUUACCCUACCUGCCUUCCUCCAGGCUGAGACUCCUUGAUUACAAGAGUUUGGUAGUAAAACUGUUUCAUUUCACUAUGCCUCAUAGCCUUCACAAGGAGAAAAAACUGAAGCAAUGUAAGCAAGAGAGAGGUGUGAAAGGAGGGCAAAAGAAUGAAAUCACUCAGGAGCCAAGUGUGGAGAGGUUUCUCAUCCAAGUACCAGCUAGAUUUGUUUGUCUUCAUUCACAUGGAUCCAGGUGAGAGAACUGUUUACAGGCUGGUUUGACAAAUCUGUCAAAGUCUGUCAUUUGGGUCACAGCACUUGCCUCUGCCCUUUUCUGCCUCCUUGUUACUGGUUAUAAUUCCCUGAACAACUUAAAUCUCAGAAUAGCACCUCAUUUAUGUUUAUCUACUAAACAUAACUUAUUCUUAGGAUAUUAUUUCCAGAAUUAUCCUUUAGAAUUUAACACAGUAUGAAUUAGUCUGACAAUAGACACCUCUUUAAUUUAGCUCCUAUUUUGAAAAAAGUUGUUCGUAACCAUUUUUAGGGUGCUGCCCAGGAAAUUACUUAAAACUGACCCUAGAAGGAUUUGAGGUAUUUUGCAACUGGGAAACGAUCACCAGUAAGGGAGUUUCACACAGAUUUAUCCAUAGUUACUUGCAGUACUUACUUAGAUCCUCUCCAGUAAGGUUGUAUGACUCACCAUUAGCUCUUACUCAGCUUGUAAGAUCAUUGGCUCCCAUUUUACCUGUUUAUUACUUGAUGGGCAAUAAGCGUCAUUGCAAUAUAUUUGAUCUACAAAGAUCCAUAUUCUUCUUCAGUUUCUUGGG
This 1251-nucleotide long non-coding RNA is filed under the name Struthio camelus australis. RNAcentral describes it as "lncRNA (ENSSCUG00000012574.1)". Lineage: Eukaryota; Metazoa; Chordata; Aves; Struthioniformes; Struthionidae. The record is from RNAcentral.